CUUGGUGUAUAUGUCACGAAAAGAUUUGAGCUUUUAAGAGGAGGUUGUAUCCAG
Molecule: transfer RNA, 54 nt
Filed under: Physidae sp. PE4
Lineage: Eukaryota; Metazoa; Mollusca; Gastropoda; Physidae
Description: tRNA-Gln
Source: RNAcentral